RNAcentral lists this ribosomal RNA (729 nucleotides) under uncultured eukaryote. RNAcentral's name for it is "SSU rRNA". It matches the Rfam family "Eukaryotic small subunit ribosomal RNA", at positions 670 to 1426 of the family's 1831-position model. The record is from RNAcentral.
CGGGUGCACUGAUCCAGCCGGGCCUUUCCCUCUGUGGAACCCCAUGGCCUUCACUGGCUGUGGUGGGGAAACAGGACUUUUACUUUGAAAAAAUUAGAGUGCUCCAGGCAGGCCUAUGCUCGAAUACAUUAGCAUGGAAUAAUAGAAUAGGACGUGUGGUUCUAUUUUGUUGGUUUCUAGGACCGCCGUAAUGAUUAAUAGGGACAGUCGGGGGCAUCAGUAUUCAAUUGUCAGAGGUGAAAUUCUUGGAUCUAUUGAAGACUAACUACUGCGAAAGCAUUUGCCAAGGAUGUUUUCAUUGAUAAGGAACGAAAGUUAGGGGAUCGAAGACGAUCAGAUACCGUCGUAGUCUUAACUAUAAACUAUGCCGACUAGGGAUCGGACGAUGUUAUUCUUUGACGCGUUCGGCACCUUUCGAGAAAUCAAAGUGCUUGGGCUCCAGGGGGAGUAUGGUCGCAAGGCUGAAACUUAAAGAAAUUGACGGGAGGGCACCACCAGGGGUGGAACCUGCGGCUUAAUUUGACUCAACACGGGGAAACUCACCAGGUCCAGACACAGUGAGGAUUGACAGAUUGAGAGCUCUUUCUUGAUUCUGUGGGUGGUGGUGCAUGGCCGUUCUUAGUUGGUGGAGUGAUUUGUCUGCUUAAUUGCGAUAACGAACGAGACCUUAACCUGCUAAAUAGCCCGUACUGCUUUGGCAGUUCGCCGGCUUCUUAGAGGGACUAUCGG